ACGUUUCGGGCAUAAGCCCUUCUUCAGGAAGACUCUGCACCAGAUCAUUAUAGCACUAAAUUAGAAGGACAUUGUAAAAUAUACAGGAGAAGAAAGUUGCAAGGGGACAUGCAGAUUGAGUGAAUUAAGAUUUUAUGGUUGAUAGUUCACCAGAUUGAUCCUGUAUUAUGUACAAGUAAAUAAAGGGUGACUUGGUGAUGGGA
Chiloscyllium plagiosum (whitespotted bambooshark) is the source of this 203-nucleotide non-coding RNA. The record is from RefSeq and is a predicted model, not a curated record. NCBI's taxonomy places the organism in Eukaryota, Metazoa, Chordata, Chondrichthyes, Orectolobiformes, Hemiscylliidae.